AGAGUUUGAUCCUGGCUCAGGAUGAACGCUGGCGGCGUGCCUAACACAUGCAAGUCGAACGGGCUUAACAUGAAACCUAGUGAUUGUUAAGUUAGUGGCGGACGGGUGAGUAACGCGUGGAUAACCUGCCGUAUGCAGGGGGAUAACAGUUGGAAACAGCUGCUAAUACCGCAUAAGCGCACAGUACCGCAUGGUACGGUGUGAAAAGAUUUAUCGGCAUACGAUGGAUCCGCGUCCGAUUAGCCAGUUGGCGGGGUAACGGCCCACCAAAGCGACGAUCGGUAGCCGGCCUGAGAGGGCGGACGGCCACAUUGGGACUGAGACACGGCCCAAACUCCUACGGGAGGCAGCAGUGGGGAAUAUUGCACAAUGGGGGAAACCCUGAUGCAGCGACGCCGCGUGAGUGAAGAAGUAUCUCGGUAUGUAAAGCUCUAUCAGCAGGGAAGAAAAUGACGGUACCUAAUCAGAAAGCCACGGCUAACUACGUG
RNAcentral lists this ribosomal RNA (488 nucleotides) under uncultured Lachnospiraceae bacterium. Its description in RNAcentral is "bacterial SSU rRNA". It matches the Rfam family "Bacterial small subunit ribosomal RNA", at positions 8 to 507 of the family's 1533-position model. Lineage: Bacteria; Bacillati; Bacillota; Clostridia; Lachnospirales; Lachnospiraceae. The record is from RNAcentral.